AUUUAUUAAUUUAGCAAGGCCACUAGUAUACAUUCUAUAGUUACCUUAUCUCACUAAGUUUCAAGACAAGAAUAUCUUAGGUUGUGAUGAACUGAAACUUUCUUGUUUAAAGCUCUUGUUAAGUUCACUUCAAAUAGCAUUGAAUUUUUUUGUGAACCUGCCUUCAUCAUGCUGGUUAAGGAAGUUAUGUUAUGGAUCUAAGCUUUGUAGGACUAUGUGUUACAAGAUACCUUUGAAAGAUCUGCUUCACUACAUGGAACCCCAGAGUUCAUUAAUGUUGGAGAUUUUUGAAAAUUAAUUUCUCAGUAAUGUGUCUUAAGUUACAAAACAUGAAGUGUCUUACUUGUGGAACAUUGGUAGACUAUGAUGAAGAAAACAAUUAUAAUCUUUUUUUGGUUUUAAUAAUAAUUCCAAAUCAUUUUAAAUUAAUAA
RNAcentral lists this long non-coding RNA (432 nucleotides) under Amphimedon queenslandica. Its description in RNAcentral is "uncharacterized LOC109590059, transcript variant X1". Lineage: Eukaryota; Metazoa; Porifera; Demospongiae; Haplosclerida; Niphatidae. The record is from RNAcentral.